UAGUCCUAAACAUGCAAAGAUGAGGGAAGAGAUAAAACCCUUGGAGUUCCUUUCUUGAGAUCAUAAAGAUAAUUCAAGAUGCUCCUUUCCUUUGGAAUUAGAAAGCAACAAGCAAUCAAAAUAAAUAUUAUAUCCAACCUCCUAGGAUCUCCAUUUGGCUUGUCUCUCUUAACUUGACUACUCAUGACAAUGGUCCUUCUUACUAUCUCAAGUUGGGAUCCCUAUCACAC
RNAcentral lists this long non-coding RNA (230 nucleotides) under Lathyrus oleraceus (garden pea). Its description in RNAcentral is "Pisum sativum (pea) long non-coding RNA (PSAT_LNC025378)". The record is from RNAcentral. Lineage: Eukaryota; Viridiplantae; Streptophyta; Magnoliopsida; Fabales; Fabaceae.